UUAAGCGACUAAGCGUACACGGUGGAUGCCCUGGCAGUCAGAGGCGAUGAAGGACGUGCUAAUCUGCGAUAAGCGUCGGUAAGGUGAUAUGAACCGUUAUAACCGGCGAUUUCCGAAUGGGGAAACCCAGUGUGAUUCGUCACACUAUCAUUAACUGAAUCCAUAGGUUAAUGAGGCGAACCGGGGGAACUGAAACAUCUAAGUACCCCGAGGAAAAGAAAUCAACCGAGAUUCCCCCAGUAGCGGCGAGCGAACGGGGAGGAGCCCAGAGCCUGAAUCAGUGUGUGUGUUAGUGGAAGCGUCUGGAAAGGCGCGCGAUACAGGGUGACAGCCCCGUACACAAAAAUGCACAUGCUGUGAGCUCGAUGAGUAGGGCGGGACACGUGGUAUCCUGUCUGAAUAUGGGGGGACCAUCCUCCAAGGCUAAAUACUCCUGACUGACCGAUAGUGAACCAGUACCGUGAGGGAAAGGCGAAAAGAACCCCGGCGAGGGGAGUGAAAAAGAACCUGAAACCGUGUACGUACAAGCAGUGGGAGCACAGAGCAAUCUGUGUGACUGCGUACCUUUUGUAUAAUGGGUCAGCGACUUAUAUUCUGUAGCAAGGUUAACCGAAUAGGGGAGCCGAAGGGAAACCGAGUCUUAACUGGGCGUUAAGUUGCAGGGUAUAGACCCGAAACCCGGUGAUCUAGCCAUGGGCAGGUUGAAGGUUGGGUAACACUAACUGGAGGACCGAACCGACUAAUGUUGAAAAAUUAGCGGAUGACUUGUGGCUGGGGGUGAAAGGCCAAUCAAACCGGGAGAUAGCUGGUUCUCCCCGAAAGCUAUUUAGGUAGCGCCUCGUGAAUUCAUCUCCGGGGGUAGAGCACUGUUUCGGCAAGGGGGUCAUCCCGACUUACCAACCCGAUGCAAACUGCGAAUACCGGAGAAUGUUAUCACGGGAGACACACGGCGGGUGCUAACGUCCGUCGUGAAGAGGGAAACAACCCAGACCGCCAGCUAAGGUCCCAAAGUCAUGGUUAAGUGGGAAACGAUGUGGGAAGGCCCAGACAGCCAGGAUGUUGGCUUAGAAGCAGCCAUCAUUUAAAGAAAGCGUAAUAGCUCACUGGUCGAGUCGGCCUGCGCGGAAGAUGUAACGGGGCUAAACCAUGCACCGAAGCUGCGGCAGCGACACUGUGUGUUGUUGGGUAGGGGAGCGUUCUGUAAGCCUGUGAAGGUGUGCUGUGAGGCAUGCUGGAGGUAUCAGAAGUGCGAAUGCUGACAUAAGUAACGAUAAAGCGGGUGAAAAGCCCGCUCGCCGGAAGACCAAGGGUUCCUGUCCAACGUUAAUCGGGGCAGGGUGAGUCGACCCCUAAGGCGAGGCCGAAAGGCGUAGUCGAUGGGAAACAGGUUAAUAUUCCUGUACUUGGUGUUACUGCGAAGGGGGACGGAGAAGGCUAUGUUGGCCGGGCGACGGUUGUCCCGGUUUAAGCGUGUAGGCUGGUUUUCCAGGCAAAUCCGGAAAAUCAAGGCUGAGGCGUGAUGACGAGGCACUACGGUGCUGAAGCAACAAAUGCCCUGCUUCCAGGAAAAGCCUCUAAGCAUCAGGUAACAUCAAAUCGUACCCCAAACCGACACAGGUGGUCAGGUAGAGAAUACCAAGGCGCUUGAGAGAACUCGGGUGAAGGAACUAGGCAAAAUGGUGCCGUAACUUCGGGAGAAGGCACGCUGAUAUGUAGGUGAAGUCCCUCGCGGAUGGAGCUGAAAUCAGUCGAAGAUACCAGCUGGCUGCAACUGUUUAUUAAAAACACAGCACUGUGCAAACACGAAAGUGGACGUAUACGGUGUGACGCCUGCCCGGUGCCGGAAGGUUAAUUGAUGGGGUCAGCGCAAGCGAAGCUCUUGAUCGAAGCCCCGGUAAACGGCGGCCGUAACUAUAACGGUCCUAAGGUAGCGAAAUUCCUUGUCGGGUAAGUUCCGACCUGCACGAAUGGCGUAAUGAUGGCCAGGCUGUCUCCACCCGAGACUCAGUGAAAUUGAACUCGCUGUGAAGAUGCAGUGUACCCGCGGCAAGACGGAAAGACCCCGUGAACCUUUACUAUAGCUUGACACUGAACAUUGAGCCUUGAUGUGUAGGAUAGGUGGGAGGCUUUGAAGUGUGGACGCCAGUCUGCAUGGAGCCGACCUUGAAAUACCACCCUUUAAUGUUUGAUGUUCUAACGUGGACCCGUGAUCCGGGUUGCGGACAGUGUCUGGUGGGUAGUUUGACUGGGGCGGUCUCCUCCUAAAGAGUAACGGAGGAGCACGAAGGUUGGCUAAUCCUGGUCGGACAUCAGGAGGUUAGUGCAAUGGCAUAAGCCAGCUUGACUGCGAGCGUGACGGCGCGAGCAGGUGCGAAAGCAGGUCAUAGUGAUCCGGUGGUUCUGAAUGGAAGGGCCAUCGCUCAACGGAUAAAAGGUACUCCGGGGAUAACAGGCUGAUACCGCCCAAGAGUUCAUAUCGACGGCGGUGUUUGGCACCUCGAUGUCGGCUCAUCACAUCCUGGGGCUGAAGUAGGUCCCAAGGGUAUGGCUGUUCGCCAUUUAAAGUGGUACGCGAGCUGGGUUUAGAACGUCGUGAGACAGUUCGGUCCCUAUCUGCCGUGGGCGCUGGAGAACUGAGGGGGGCUGCUCCUAGUACGAGAGGACCGGAGUGGACGCAUCACUGGUGUUCGGGUUGUCAUGCCAAUGGCACUGCCCGGUAGCUAAAUGCGGAAGAGAUAAGUGCUGAAAGCAUCUAAGCACGAAACUUGCCCCGAGAUGAGUUCUCCCUGACCCUUUAAGGGUCCUGAAGGAACGUUGAAGACGACGACGUUGAUAGGCCGGGUGUGUAAGCGCAGCGAUGCGUUGAGCUAACCGGUACUAAUGAACCGUGAGGCUUAACCUU
RNAcentral lists this ribosomal RNA (2902 nucleotides) under Escherichia coli DEC4A. Its description in RNAcentral is "bacterial LSU rRNA". It matches the Rfam family "Bacterial large subunit ribosomal RNA". The record is from RNAcentral. Lineage: Bacteria; Pseudomonadati; Pseudomonadota; Gammaproteobacteria; Enterobacterales; Enterobacteriaceae.